UCUGUGACUCCUACGGGAGGCAGCAGUGGGGAAUAUUGCACAAUGGGGGAAACCCUGAUGCAGCCAUGCCGCGUGUGUGAAGAAGGCCUUCGGGUUGUUAAAGCACUUUCAGUAGGGAGGAAGGUAGUGUAGUUAACACCUGCAUUAUUUGACGUUUACCUACAGAAGAAGCACCGGCUAACUCCGUGCCAGCAGCCGCGGUAAUACGGAGGGUGCGAGCGUUAAUCGGAAUUACUGGGCGUAAAGCGCAUGCAGGCGGCCUGUUAAGUCAGAUGUGAAAGCCCGGGGCUUAACCUCGGAAUUGCAUUUGAAACUGGCAGGCUAGAGUCUUGUAGAGGGGGUAGAAUUUCAGGUGUAGCGGUGAAAUGCGUAGAGAUCUGAAGGAAUACCAGUGGCGAAGGCGGCCCCCUGGACAAAGACUGACGCUCAGAUGCGAAAGCGUGGGGAGCAAACAGGAUUAGAUACCCUGGUAG
Molecule: ribosomal RNA, 473 nt
Filed under: uncultured bacterium
Lineage: Bacteria
Description: bacterial SSU rRNA
Rfam family: Bacterial small subunit ribosomal RNA
Source: RNAcentral